UGGGGAAUAUUGCACAAUGGGCGAAAGCCUGAUGCAGCAACGCCGCGUGCGGGAUGACGGCCUUCGGGUUGUAAACCGCUUUCAGCAGGGACGAAGGUUUUCUGACGGUACCUGCAGAAGAAGCACCGGCUAACUACGUGCCAGCAGCCGCGGUGAUACGUAGGGUGCGAGCGUUGUCCGGAAUUAUUGGGCGUAAAGAGCUUGUAGGCGGUCCGUUGCGUCGGAAGUGAAACUCAGGGCUUAACCCUGAGCCUGCUUUCGAUACGGGCGGACUUGAGGGAUGUAGGGGAGAACGGAAUUCCUGGUGGAGCGGUGGAAUGCGCAGAUAUCAGGAGGAACACCAGUGGCGAAGGCGGUUCUCUGGACAUUUCCUGACGCUGAGAAGCGAAAGCGUGGGGAGCAAACAGGCUUANAUACCCUGGUAGUCCACGCCGUAAACGGUGGGCANUAGGUGUGGGACCCAUUCCACGGGUUCCGUGCCGUAGCUAACGCAUUAAGUG
Molecule: ribosomal RNA, 500 nt
Filed under: uncultured bacterium
Lineage: Bacteria
Description: partial 16S ribosomal RNA
Rfam family: Bacterial small subunit ribosomal RNA
Source: RNAcentral